This 373-nucleotide ribosomal RNA is filed under the name uncultured bacterium. RNAcentral's name for it is "bacterial SSU rRNA". It matches the Rfam family "Bacterial small subunit ribosomal RNA", at positions 527 to 898 of the family's 1533-position model. The record is from RNAcentral.
GGGGGGGGCAAGCGUUGUUCGGAAUUACUGGGCGUAAAGGGUGCGUAGGCGGCUCUCUAAGUCGGAUGUGAAAACUCUGGGCUCAACCCAGAGCCUGCAUCUGAAACUGGAGGGCUAGGGUGCUGGAGGGGAAAGCGGAAUUCCUGGUGUAGCGGUGAAAUGCGUAGAUAUCAGGAGGAACACCGGUGGCGAAGGCGGCUUUCUGGACAGUAACCGACGCUGAGGCACGAAAGCUAGGGGAGCAAACAGGAUUAGAUACCCUGGUAGUCCUAGCCCUAAACUAUGGAUACUUGCUGUGGGGGGGAUUGAAGCCCCUUGUGGCGAAGCUAACGCAUUAAGUAUCCCGCCUGGGGAGUACGGUCGCAAGGCUGAA